CCUCCUCCAAACCCCCAUGGCCGCCGCCCCCUCCUCCCAAUCCCCUAUGGUCGUCGCCUCCCGUCCGGUGCCGCCGCACCACACAGCCGGCGGUUGACCCCACACCGCUGCUGCUCCCACUCCUCCAGCGCCAUCUCCCCCCAUCGACCGCCGCCCUGUCGCCCCGUCGCCGUCCAGCCAGUCGCCUCCGUCGCCGGCCAACGCUGCACCGUCGACGUCCAGCCACCCCUCGUGCGCCCUCCAGCCAUUCUAGCGGCGCCUUCAUCCCCGACGACCGGCGCCCCUCGCAGUCUUGUAGUACAGUGCCCCUCAAAAGAACACCUAUUACACAGCUCUGAAAGCAGCAGAUCCACUACAUUGGAAGGACCGUGAUCUCGAUCCAGAAAUCAUGUACUCCUCCAGUGGUGGCAUGCCCAUGGGCGACUAGCAAUAGGUGAUGGUGCUAUAAAGAAAGCAGUGGUAGUUGCAAAAGCUAGAUAGAAUGACACAAGGCCAUCAAACUCCAUAUCAUACCAUUGUUUAUUGAAGGAAAAUGCUCAACUUAAAAGGCGCUGCAAGAAUAAUUUUGUUCUGAGCAAACAUGUACAGGGGUUUUAUGGCAAGCUAGGAUGGGAAGUACCCGAAGAUCUUCUUGCCUACCAAGAUGAGCUGAUGGAUGGCGGUGAUCUGGUGAAUGAAAUACCCCAGGCCCAAGAGGAUGGUGGUACUCCAAUGACAGAUUCUUCACAUGAUGAAAGGCAUGUUGAUGCUGGUACUCAAAUGGAUGAUCAUGGUUCUGGUC
Triticum aestivum (bread wheat) is the source of this 781-nucleotide long non-coding RNA. RefSeq lists it as uncharacterized. NCBI's taxonomy places the organism in Eukaryota, Viridiplantae, Streptophyta, Magnoliopsida, Poales, Poaceae. The transcript is spliced from 4 exons. The record is from RefSeq and is a predicted model, not a curated record.